UUUCCGGUUGAUCCCGCCGGACCUGACUGCUAUCGGAUUGAUACUAAGCCAUGCGAGUCUUUGUAGUAAUACAAGGCAGACGGCUCAGUAACACGUAGUCAACCUACCCUAUGGACAAGAAUAAUCUCGGGAAACUGGGCAUAAUUCUUGAUAGAUCAUAAUGCCUGGAAUGGUUUAUGGUUAAAAUGAUUCGUCGCCAUAGGAUGGGACUGCGGCCUAUCAGCUUGUUGGUGAGGUAAUGGCCCACCAAGGCGAUUACAGGUACGGGCUCUGAGAGGAGAAGCCCGGAGAUGGGUACUGAGACACGGACCCAGGCCCUAUGGGGCGCAGCAGGCGAGAAAACUUUGCAAUGUGCGAAAGCACGACAAGGUUAAUCCGAGUGAUUUCUGCUAAAGAAAUCUUUUGCCAGUCAUAAAACCACUGGUGAAUAAGGGGUGGGCAAGUUCUGGUGUCAGCCGCCGCGGUAAAACCAGCACCUCAAGUGGUCAGGAUGAUUAUUGGGCCUAAAGCAUCCGUAGCCGGCUUUGUAAGUUUUCGGUUAAAUCCAUGUGCUCAACGCAUGGGCUGCCGAAAAUACUGCAUAGCUAGGGAGUGGGAGAGGUAGACGGUACUCAGUAGGAAGGGGUAAAAUCCUUUGAUCUAUUGAUGACCACCUGUGGCGAAGGCGGUCUACCAGAAUACGUUCGACGGUGAGGGAUGAAAGCUGGGGGAGCAAACCGGAUUAGAUACCCGGGUAGUCCCAGCUGUAAACGAUGCAGACUCGAUGAUGCAUUGGCAUAAUAGCCAGUGCAGUGUCGCAGGGAAGCCGUUAAGUCUGCCGCCUGGGAAGUACGUACGCAAGUAUGAAACUUAAAGGAAUUGGCGGGGGAGCACCACAAGGGGUGAAGCCUGCGGUUCAAUUGGAGUCAACGCCGGGA
Molecule: ribosomal RNA, 917 nt
Filed under: uncultured archaeon
Lineage: Archaea
Description: SSU rRNA
Rfam family: Archaeal small subunit ribosomal RNA
Source: RNAcentral